UGGGGAAUAUUGGACAAUGGAGGAAACUCUGAUCCUGCAAUUCUGUGUGUGUGAAGAAGGUUUUAGGACUGUAAAACACUUUUAGUAGGGAAGAAAAAAAUGACGGUACCUACAGAAGAAGCAACGGCUAAAUACGUGCCAGCAGCCGCGGUAAUACGUAUGUUGCGAGCGUUAUCCGGAAUUAUUGGGCUUAAAGGGCAUCUAGGCGGUAAGACAAGUUGAAGGUGAAAACCUGUGGCUCAACCAUAGGCUUGCCUACAAAACUGUUGAACUAGAGUACUGGAAAGGUGGGUGGAACUACACGAGUAGAGGUGAAAUUCGUAGAUAUGUGUAGGAAUGCCGAUGAUGAAGAUAACUCACUGGACAGAAACUGACGCUGAAGUGCGAAAGCUAGGGGAGCAAACAGG
RNAcentral lists this ribosomal RNA (407 nucleotides) under Verrucomicrobiota bacterium. Its description in RNAcentral is "Verrucomicrobia bacterium partial 16S ribosomal RNA". It matches the Rfam family "Bacterial small subunit ribosomal RNA", at positions 355 to 776 of the family's 1533-position model. Lineage: Bacteria; Pseudomonadati; Verrucomicrobiota. The record is from RNAcentral.